ACGGGAGGCAGCAGUGGGGAAUAUUGCACAAUGGGCGGAAGCCUGAUGCAGCGACGCCGCGUGAGGGAUGACGGCCUUCGGGUUGUAAACCUCUUUCAGCAGGGACGAAGCGAGAGUGACGGUACCUGCAGAAGAAGCGCCGGCCAACUACGUGCCAGCAGCCGCGGUAAGACGUAGGGCGCGAGCGUUGUCCGGAUUUAUUGGGCGUAAAGAGCUCGUAGGCGGCUUGUCGCGUCGACCGUGAAAACUUGGGGCUCAACCCCAAGCCUGCGGUCGAUACGGGCAGGCUCGAGUUCGGUAGGGGAGACUGGAAUUCCUGGUGUAGCGGUGAAAUGCGCAGAUAUCAGGAGGAACACCGGUGGCGAAGGCGGGUCUCUGGGCCGAUACUGACGCUGAGGAGCGAAAGCGUGGGGAGCGAACAGGAUUAGAUACCCUGGUAGUCCACGCUGUAAACGUUGGGCGCUAGGUGUGGGGAGCCUCUCCGGUUCUCUGUGCCGCAGCUAACGCAUUAAGCGCCCCGCCUGGGGAGUACGGCCGCAAGGCUAAAACUCAAAGGAAUUGACGGGGGCCC
RNAcentral lists this ribosomal RNA (571 nucleotides) under Paractinoplanes abujensis. RNAcentral's name for it is "bacterial SSU rRNA". It matches the Rfam family "Bacterial small subunit ribosomal RNA", at positions 341 to 922 of the family's 1533-position model. Lineage: Bacteria; Bacillati; Actinomycetota; Actinomycetes; Micromonosporales; Micromonosporaceae. The record is from RNAcentral.